This 330-nucleotide ribosomal RNA is filed under the name uncultured bacterium. Its description in RNAcentral is "bacterial SSU rRNA". It matches the Rfam family "Bacterial small subunit ribosomal RNA", at positions 568 to 898 of the family's 1533-position model. The record is from RNAcentral.
UGCGUAGGCGGCUCUAUAAGUAUGGUGUGAAAUCUCCCGGCUCAACCGGGAGGGUGCGCCGUAGACUGUGGGGCUAGAGUGUGGGAGAGGAAAGUGGAAUUCCUGGUGUAGCGGUGAAAUGCGUAGAUAUCAGGAGGAACACCGGUGGUGUAAACGGCUUUCUGGACCAUAACUGACGCUGAGGCACGAAAGCGUGGGUAGCAAACAGGAUUAGAUACCCUGGUAGUCCACGCCCUAAACGAUGCAUAUUUGGUGUGGGCCAUUCAUUUGGUCUGUGCCGGAGCUAACGCGUUAAAUAUGCCGCCUGGGGAGUACAGUCGCAAGGCUGAA